This 496-nucleotide ribosomal RNA is filed under the name uncultured bacterium. RNAcentral's name for it is "partial 16S ribosomal RNA". It matches the Rfam family "Bacterial small subunit ribosomal RNA", at positions 28 to 507 of the family's 1533-position model. The record is from RNAcentral.
GACGAACGCUGGCGGCGUGCCUAAUACAUGCAAGUCGAGCGCUGAAGGUUGGUACUUGUACCAACUGGAUGAGCAGCGAACGGGUGAGUAACGCGUGGGGAAUCUGCCUUUGAGCGGGGGACAACAUUUGGAAACGAAUGCUAAUACCGCAUAAAAAUUUAAACAAAAGUUUUAAGGUUGAAAAAUGGCAAUGCAUCAAUCAAAGAAGAUCCCCCGUUGUAUUUACUUGUUGGGGAGGUAAAGGCUCACCAAGGCGAUGAUACAUAGCCGACCUGAGAGGGUGAUCGGCAACAUUGGGACUGGGACACGGCCCAAACUCCUACGGGAGGCAGCAGUAGGGGAUCUUCGGCAAUGGACGAAAGUCUGACCGAGCAACGCCGCGUGAGUGAAGAAGGUUUUCGGAUCGUAAAACUCUGUUGGUAGAGAAGAACGUUGGUGAGAGUGGAAAGCUCAUCAAGUGACGGUAACUACCCAGAAAGGGACGGCUAACUACGUG